Molecule: ribosomal RNA, 660 nt
Filed under: uncultured organism
Description: bacterial SSU rRNA
Rfam family: Bacterial small subunit ribosomal RNA
Source: RNAcentral
GGCUUAGAGUUUGAUCAUGGCUCAGGAUGAACGCUGGCGGCGUGCCUAACACAUGCAAGUCGAACGAAGCGAUUUUGCGGAAGUUUUCGGAUGGAAGCGGAAUUGACUGAGUGGCGGACGGGUGAGUAACGCGUGGAUAACCUGCCUCAUACAGGGGGAUAACAGUUAGAAAUGACUGCUAAUACCGCAUAAGCGCACGGGAACGCAUGUUCCUGUGUGAAAAGCCGAGACGGUAUGAGAUGGAUCCGCGUCUGAUUAGCUAGUUGGUGAGGUAACGGCCCACCAAGGCGACGAUCAGUAGCCGACCUGAGAGGGUGACCGGCCACAUUGGGACUGAGACACGGCCCAAACUCCUACGGGAGGCAGCAGUGGGGAAUAUUGCACAAUGGGGGAAACCCUGAUGCAGCGACGCCGCGUGAGUGAAGAAGUAUUUCGGUAUGUAAAGCUCUAUCAGCAGGGAAGAGAAUGACGGUACCUGACUAAGAAGCCCCGGCUAACUACGUGCCAGCAGCCGCGGUAAUACGUAGGGGGCAAGCGUUAUCCGGAUUUACUGGGUGUAAAGGGAGCGUAGACGGCAUAGCAAGUCUGAAGUGAAAUACCCGGGCUCAACCCGGGAGCUGCUUUGGAAACUGUUAGGCUGGAGUGCUGGAGAGGCAAGCG